GAUGAACGCUGGCGGCGUGCCUAAUACAUGCAAGUCGAGCGAAGAGGGGACGGGGGAGUAAAACGUGGAUAACAUCCUAUAAGACUGGGAUAAAUUCGGGAAACCGGAGCCAAACCGGAUACUUAUAGAAGGAUCAGCGCUUCAUUAUGUAGUUGGUAAGGUAACGGCUUACCAGGGCUACGAUGCAUAGCAGACCUGAGAGGGUGAUCGGCCACACUGGACCUGAGACACGGUCCCGACUCCUACGGUAGGCAGCAGGUGGGAAUCUUCCGCAAUGGGCGAGAGCCUGACGGAUCAAUGCCGCGUGGGUGAUGAAGGUCUUCGGAUCGUAAACCUCUUUUAUUCGGGAGUCGUUACCUAAUCACAAAGCCACGGCUAACUACGUGCCAGCAGCCGCGGUAAUAC
This 405-nucleotide ribosomal RNA is filed under the name uncultured bacterium. RNAcentral describes it as "partial 16S ribosomal RNA". It matches the Rfam family "Bacterial small subunit ribosomal RNA", at positions 28 to 526 of the family's 1533-position model. The record is from RNAcentral.